UUGAGCGAUUUACUUCGGUAAAGAGCGGCGGACGGGUGAGUAACGCGUGGGUAACCUACCCUGUACACACGGAUAACAUACCGAAAGGUAUGCUAAUACGGGAUAAUAUAUUUGAGAGGCAUCUCUUAAAUAUCAAAGGUGAGCCAGUACAGGAUGGACCCGCGUCUGAUUAGCGAGUUGGUAAGGUAACGGCUUACCAAGGCGACGAUCAGUAGCCGACCUG
This 223-nucleotide ribosomal RNA is filed under the name Clostridioides difficile. RNAcentral's name for it is "partial 16S ribosomal RNA". It matches the Rfam family "Bacterial small subunit ribosomal RNA", at positions 62 to 294 of the family's 1533-position model. The record is from RNAcentral. Lineage: Bacteria; Bacillati; Bacillota; Clostridia; Peptostreptococcales; Peptostreptococcaceae.